UGUCUUCAUAAUGGGUAUAGUGUCCUUUUAAGAGAAGACACCAGAGGGUUUUCCCUCUCCCUCUGCCUUAUGAGGACACAGUGAGAUGGCCGCUAUGUGCAAGCUGGGAAGCUUCUCUCAGCACCAGACCCAACUAUGCUGGUAUCCUCAUCUCAGACUUUCAGCUUCCAGAAAUCUAUACCAGAGGAAGGAAAAAAAUCAGCAGUGCUUCCUCAGCAUUCCUCCACUCCUCCACAGCAGCAUGCAUGAAGGCAUGGAGAUAGGAACACGCAUGGCGGAGGGGGAAGAGGAAAUGGAUUUUUUUUUUAACUCUAUAAUACUGUGGACCAGACGGCAAUGGAAAAAUGAGAGAGUAAGAGAGCAUGGAGGCAAGAAAAUAAUUGCAAGGUCAAGCCCACAGAGUAGUCACAAUAAUGAUACUACAAACAAUAACAAUAAGAAAUAACUGAGCUCCUAUGCUGUUCCCAGUACCACAGAGGAGGCUUCAACAUACACCUCAUCUGGUUCUGACGAAGUCAACAAACUGCUGAAGUGUCAACAGAUGAACAAGCGCCCAAGCUGAAACAGGAACAUGUGUCUGGCUUUUGUAAACAGGCUGAAGGAAUACAACUGACAGAGAAGUAGAGAGAGAAAAUAUUCCAUCUUGGAAAACGCUGUGUGAAAAUGUUGCACGUGGUUUUGUUAAACAUCCCAAACAAAGUAACCCUGAAGGCCAAGAAAAGUGACCAAAGGAAGACAGAGAAAAGAAAAACAAAACAGAAAUGAGAGAAAAAGAGUAAAGAUCUUUUGCCUGCUGCAAUAAAACAAUGGAAUACAUUUUUACAUUUUUAGCUUUUUCUUGAAAAGAACAAGCUCCACCUUUCCUUUCCCCCGUCCCUGAAAACUCUAGGGACACAGUCUGGCAUAUUCUUCCUGUAUCAUCACAGGAAAAAUAAGAGACAUUUUAGUGUUUGAUAGUAAUGUCCUGUAAUCCUCCAGCUCCUUGGAGCAAUCACUGCCUUUUUUUUCCAAAGCAGUCCUUUCCAGUUUCCUACAUUUGAUAGUGUUUCCUAAACUUGCCUGAUAUCAGAAUCACAGACUCACAGGUUUCUUCCUUGCUGAUGCUGAUUCAGUUCACCUGGA
Molecule: non-coding RNA, 1122 nt
Organism: Odocoileus virginianus texanus
Lineage: Eukaryota; Metazoa; Chordata; Mammalia; Artiodactyla; Cervidae
Source: RefSeq, a predicted model, not a curated record